Molecule: long non-coding RNA, 805 nt
Filed under: Danio rerio (zebrafish)
Lineage: Eukaryota; Metazoa; Chordata; Actinopteri; Cypriniformes; Danionidae
Description: si:ch211-199g17.8 (ENSDARG00000092705.3)
Source: RNAcentral
GCGGCUUGAAAACAUCUGUUCACAGUUUCUACACGGAAGGCAGGAAUAAUCAGCAUUCCUGAGCCAGUCCCAACAAAUCUGAAACAUGGCGAAAUUAUGCAUGGACCACCACAACAUGUGAUACAAGAUAAAGGCUAUUGGAGAUGGAGCCUCACCCAAAACAUAGAAAAGCAUGUUUAGUAAGCGUGGAGACUCUAGACUGGAGGAAUGAGUCACUGAGGAACUGCUGUGGGGGAGGCAGAGGCGGACAGUCAGACUCACUGACAAACAGAGUUCUCUCCGGGCUGGUACUGGGGCUCGGUGGCGGUGAAGUAAUCCUCCAGGAAGCUCUGCAGAUACUCGAAUGUGUGCCUCUCAUCGGGGUCUUUCCUCCAGCACUGAAGCAUGAGCUCGUGCAGAGAUGCCGGCGAGCCCUGCGGACACGGCAUACGGUAUCCGCGCUCCACCUGCUCCAGCACCUCUCGGUUGUUCAUUCCUGUGCACAAACAUUACACACAGAAGAAGUUUGAGUGUCAAUGGCUACCUGUUUCCAGCAUUCUUCAUCAAAAUAUCUCUAUAUUUGCAUCUUUGAGUGAACUGUCCCUUUAAGCAAUUAACAGGGUUCCCACUCUUCCAUAAAAGGAGAUUCAAGGACUUCUUAAAGGAUUAUUCAUUUCAAAUCAAGCACCUUUUCAAUUCACACUGCCAGCAAAUACAGCAUCAUGAAAGUCCAUGCUGCACUUAACAGUUCACUUACACUUCAUAUUUACAUUGAAAGCAGCGAUGAUGAUGUUUUGAAUAUGUCGUUUACCAAAAAUGUUUUAAA